Long non-coding RNA from Mesocricetus auratus (golden hamster), 389 nucleotides. RefSeq lists it as uncharacterized. NCBI's taxonomy places the organism in Eukaryota, Metazoa, Chordata, Mammalia, Rodentia, Cricetidae. The transcript is spliced from 3 exons. The record is from RefSeq and is a predicted model, not a curated record.
GAUAGAAAACAUGAGAUUAGAACAAGAGGGAUAUCCAGGAGAGCAACAUCAGGAUGAGCUCACUGACGUGUGAGAAGAUGAGAGUGAAUGGAGGACAACAGGAAGGAUCAAAGUUGAUUUGGGCCUCAACAGACUAUUCUUCUCUACUGCUUAUAUGGAACUUCACCUGCCGAUGGAAGCCAGGCUACCUAAUCCCCAAUCAUCCCUUAUGAACACGGACAGCUCAUCUAACAGCACUGGCAAAUGAUGUCUUCCUCAUAGGCCUACAUUCUGGUAUUAAGGAAGAGACACAGUUCACUGUGAUUUGGAGGAGAGGGAAACAGAGGAAGACAGAAGUCCACACCAACCCUCAGCGGCUUUCCUUGGCUAAAAAACUGGCUCGAAUGAUA